GUACCUGCGAUACCAAGUCGGCAAGACCCCACCAACACUGCUUAUUAAUCGCUUAAAAGCUUGUGAAUGCAUUCUCUUGAAGAAACAAAGCAUGUAGAUACCCUAUGCAAUAAGCUUUUAAGCGACCAUUGGUUCUAGCAAGAAAGGAAAACUAAAGGUCAACAGCCGAUAACAAGGAGGCGUCGUGAGUCUCGUGACAUUUACGCCAUUCUUACUUGCUUCAACAACGGAUAAUGACCGCUUUUGCGGUAUGUUUCUUCACAAUCUUUUGAUCCGGAUGGUGAUACAACAAGUUUAGUUGUCCUGCAACUGCGCACAUCUAUUUCAAACAGCCAAGGAAGAUCUUCGUUGGUCCACUUAAUGACUCCUCUGCACGGCACCCCAACUUUAGUGGAACAUUGUACAAGUUUGGAUGUAGCAUCACUAUCAUGAUGCCGGUGAGGAAUUAUCUCCUUUGCCGACUUCGAUUGAGCCACGGCGAAUGCUGCGGAAAAGAUUACAAGUAUACUUCUAAAGAAAGGACUUUUUUACGGUAAGGUGUAAGAAUCAGCAGGCCGAAUGGAACAUCCUGGCAGCUGGGCUGAGGCCCAGAUGACAUCCGUUUACAGUAGCAGGAACCACUAGACUGUCUAGACAUGACUGGAGUAUAUCCUGAGCAGCUGGUUUAAGGCCAAACCACAUCCGUUGCGAGUGGGGAUUAUUAAUCGUGGUUGGCACUUCGCAAACGAGUGGCUAUCGGCAUUUGCACCAGCAUUUGCUUCGCCGAAUAAACAAGCACUCGAAAUCAGCAGGAUAAGAAAUUGUCCCAGCUCACGUUAGACGUUUUAUGCACAUUAAGCAUUGGUGGACUGGCAUUCCGACCCAAACGAACACUACAAUACUUACACUAUAAUAAAAUACAGUACAGUAUUCAUACUGCGCUUACACUAUAAUAAAAUAAUUUCUAUCGCGACAAUGAUGGUAUUAAUUAUUAACAUAAGGAAAUGAAGCGGUAUUAAAAUUGCACAAAAGGCAAACUCAGUGAGCGACACUUAAAUCAACACACCCGAGUAAGCGGGAAGCCAGCAUUACAUCAUUGUCUUUAAGAAGAGCAACGACGAAGAAACCGUUGGUUCAGUAGUCUUCCCAGACGAAGAUGGCUUUGAUCAUGCGCAGAAACCAAGCCCAGGUGCUUUUCCACGUCUCGUAGUCGUACCAGCCCAUCAGGACGGCGAAGAGGAAGAGCAGCCCGGCCACUGCCGGCACGCCGUAUUGGCAUGCGUACCGCCACGAUUGGGGCGCUUUGACGUAUUUGUACGCCUUCCGUUCGUACUCCUCAAUCACCGCCGGCUGACCUACAAAAAGAUAACUAAACUGCACACAAACUGCAAUUUUGACGUAAGUACCAGGUAAUUCAGAUAUUAUGCACAAUAUAAAUAUGUUGCCUAUUGGCUAUUGUGUACUACUCUGUACAUUAUUCACCACCGGGAUUGUUACCGGUGCAGCUAUUCGGCAUUAAAAUCUGAUAUCUAUAUCUUAUUUUACAAGGAUAUACAACUGUAAAUUACACCGGAAAAGAAAUAGUUUCAUGCGAAAAGCAG
Paramacrobiotus metropolitanus is the source of this 1580-nucleotide long non-coding RNA. RefSeq lists it as uncharacterized. The transcript has 4 exons. NCBI's taxonomy places the organism in Eukaryota, Metazoa, Tardigrada, Eutardigrada, Parachela, Macrobiotidae. The record is from RefSeq and is a predicted model, not a curated record.